UAAAGCUUCAUGAUCCUUGAGGUCUCUUCCAGUCUGGGCUGUUCUGUGAUUCUGUGAUCUUGAUCUGAACACCUCAUUUCUCAGUGUUUACCAGUGUGUCAUUAUUUAUGUCCUUGUUAUCAAAUGUGUCAUGUUUCUAACCCUUAUUUUAUUAAUUCUGCAUAGAUAUUUCUGUACUCAAUUCAGACAAGUCUUGAUAUUUCUGUUACGAAUCCCUGCCCUUUUCUAACAGUAGGGAGUAUCCUCACCUUUUCCUCUUAUUUUUCUCCAGGAAAAGCCUCCUAAGCACGUAAUUGCUAUUCCUUCUGUGCAAGCCCUGGUUCUUUAGAUAACAAUCUCUCAGUUGAUGAAUCAAGUACCGUUACAAUUGCUGCUUUUUGUUACUUCCUUUUGAGAGAUCAGUACUAUUAACAUUGGAAAACAAAGCAAACAAAGCUCCUUGUCUUUAUAAGGUUGUUUAAAUACUAACAGCAAGUUUCUGUUUUCACAUUGAAUGCCUGGUUCCUUUGACAUUAAGAAAUAGGAAGAACCAAGACAAUCUGCAAAGCCUUUUAACGUUUCUUUCCAGUUAGCUGAUGCUCUGCAAAUAAGUCGAUGCAGUGUAUUUCUGAGUAGUGUGUUCCUAGAAGAGUAGUCCUCCUCUGUCUCUACAAAGAACGACUUGACAGCAGGACAUUUACAGAGUAACGAUUCAGGACCAUGAUUGUGUGCACUCACACAACAGAGUUCUACUUGUCAUAAUUCAAGGAAAAUGUAAUAAAUAUCAGAACCAACUACAAGUUUGAACUGACAGUGAAGUGCCAGCACUUAUUUUUGGAAAAGGUAUGCUAUACGCUGCUUCCUUCAUGUGCCUCAUAUUAAAAACUGUCUGGGCAUGUAAAAGGAAGUUGUUAGAAUUAAAAAUAAUUGUGAAAGCAGUAAUACACUUUUAUCACCUUUAUAUAAGAAAAAAUGUAUAUUCCAAAGACCAAUUUUUUUUUUAAUCACUGUAGAGAAUUCUUCUUGAUGUGUAUAAUCAGUAUUCAAAAUAUUCUUUACUUCUUUCCAAACAAAUAGCAGAAUUGAACUAAAUUAAGCACCAAAAAUGAGAAUAUCAGUACCAUUAUCUUUGUCUAAGAUUCUUGAGGGCUUGGACUGGCAGCUUGACAAAAAUGGAAAAAUGGUGAACUGAAUAUGAGUUUGCAGACUAGUCAUUUAAAAUAAACUAUCCUUUCCAGAAACGUAGUAUUUACUUAAACACCUUUUAUUUGAGUGAACGGAAUUCCCUGUUUGCCUCUGAUCCUUAGCAUUUAAGUAGUGUUUGUAUUGGCUCAGAUAUUCCCAAGCAUGAUUGCACUGUGCUAGACACACUACAGGAAAAGCAGCUUUAUCCCAGUGAUGCACGCUCAUAUCAAAUAAGGAUAAUGCACAACAGGAGAAGGAAUACACGAAAUAAAUUAUUAACAUAAUGAGAAACUUCAUUAUAAACUGUCUACAACUGAGGUGAUUUUACAAAAAAGUUGUAAAGGUGACCAGGACACUGGCCCCAGGUCUACCCUGUAGGCAGAGACCCAUGUGAGUGCUUUCUCCAUUAUUGCUGUGUUUCAUUGAGAAAUUUAUCAAGUUCAGAAUAUGUUAACAAAAUCCUCACCAUUCAGGUCUUUCAGAAACAUGCUACUUCCAGUGCCUCACAAGAUUUUACCAGCCACCCUAGUUUUUGCAUUUGAAUUUGCGGCAGUAAAAAUUACACUGGGAUGCAGAGUCUCACCUUAAUGGAAACGAGAGUAGUAGAAUAUGAACAUUAUCAAAAGUCUCAUAGACAAGAAGGAAGAUAAAAGAUUUAAUUAUAUUUAAUUAUAUUUACCAAAAAACAAUACUGUGGUGUGCUGCAGUAGUUUGCUUUAGUCAUCUUCCUCAUUGCUGAAUGUACAGAAAACAUCUGCUGCUCAUCUCAUUUUUUCCUGCAGACAUUGCUAUAACAUCCCUUCCUGAAUUUCCCCAAAUGUUCUUUGGAAAAUACUGUGAUAGGAUCUGUGAUGUCUCUUUUUCCCUACACAACUAAACAUCGUAGACUAGCUCAGAUGUUCUGCUUUAUAAAUAAGUUAUAUUCAUUCUCACAAGUUUGAACUCAUUCCUGAGUCCAGGAAGGAAUCAAGGUCGCUAGGGAGAAGCCAGGCCUGGAACAGCCUGUGAACCAAACACGUACGCUGGUAUAAAGGACUUAGGAAGAUUGAAGUGGUACAUUUUAUUAGUUUGCCACAAGUAUUCAGAUUCUAUCAGGUUCACUUUCAGAAUACCUCACAUGUCCUCAUUCAAACAUCACUAGAAAAUAAAGGUUUUCUUAAUGAGGUUGCCAAGUUUUUUCUCCUAGUAAUUCUGUCUGUAGUGCAAAGAUUUCUAGAGCUCCUUGGCACAACAGAUUUACCCUCCUACAUUGUUCUGCAUUGGUAGGAAUCCUGAGCGUUGUUUAAACAUGACUUUAGUUUGAAAAAGAAGCUCAAAAAUUGCCUUACACAAAACUGAUAUGCUCUUUCUUCACUGUCUAUGAAGCAAGAUAAUUGUCUUUUUCUUGAAACAAAUAUCAGGCCUUAAAACUCAGCUCAGGAAGCUUACUCCCUCCUUUUCAAGAAUAGUUUGAAGUUCAGCUGAAGUCAGUCAUACUGGGACAAUGUAUUCUGGUUUCAGCGCAGGUUUGGCUGACCUGUAACAACACUUAAUUUUGCAGAUGACUUCAGUGGGGGACAGUCAUAAACACAUAUUUUCUCAAGAGCUUAUAGAAUGCACUGUAGGAGGCUGCUACUGUGGUUUUUAAUUUGCUAUUAAAUAAGUAUUAUAUACACGCUAGACAUCUGUGCUAGUCUGUACAUGUUGCAAUAUGUUUAGCAGCACGGGGUUUUUUUAACAACAUUUCUUCAGAGCAAAGCUAUGCGUAGAAGAAUCCAUAAAUAUCCCAGACAUUCAGUUCAACUCUUGGUCCUCCUUUGUUAAAUCAGCCACAGGUGGGUUCCAUUUCUCCUCUUACUGAAGAGGCUAUUGUUUCCUUACCUUUACAAACUUGUUUUGUUUUUUAUACAUUGUUAUACAGGUUAGCACACAUUUUAGAAUGCCAUUCCCAAAUAAAUGCAACAGUUUUUAAACUCAAGCUCUAUAUACAGUCACAGUAACCCCAGGACACUGUCUGACAUGCAUUUGAACCAGGACUGCAAAGCUACUUUCUCUUCCUUUUCUUUUCCCCUGCUUCCUCAGCACUUCACGUUCACUUCCAUAUUGUUCUUCAUGCUGCUACUCAUUACCAUCAGGAUGGGAAACAAAACUUGAGAUCAGUUCCUCAGUCUCCUUAGGAUGAGUUUGUUUACGGUGCAGAAUGGGGCCAGAAAAAAGGGGAGGAGGCAGCUGGGCAGUGUGGGUGCAGAAGUGCAGGCUUUCUUGAAUAUCAGUCUAGAGCAUCAGAGCUUAGCCUUCAGCCAAGGUAGGAUGUACACAAUUAAUAUAUCUUGUCACUGUCAUCUCUCCUAUCUUCAAACCUUUAAUCUGUAUGAAGGUGAUUAUAUUACUCUUUCUAAAGCUCAUCAAUUAGUGUUUGCAAAUGAUCCAUGUAAUUGGGCUUCAUAGUACAUUGUGAGCACCCAAUGACUAGUAAGCCUGCCAUGAUCCAAAGUUUUGAGCAGCCUGCUGUAAAGACAGCAUAAAGCCAUGCAAAGAUGUGUUACUAAUCAGGAAAUGUUAUGAACAAUUUAAAACAAACUUUUAAGGUAGAAAGUGAUAGAGAACUUUAUUAAUGCAUUCAGUAAUCCAGGCCUAUUAUAGUUGCCUUGCACUUGUGAGGAUUUAGAGGCUUUCCAGUCUAAUCCUAGUAUUUGGCCCAGUGCAGCAAGUACUCCUUAACAAUAGUUCUGCUCAAAAAAUUACAUUUAGAAUGGAAACAUUUUUAAUUUGAACUACCUAUUCCCUGUAUUCACAGAGUUACACAGCAUAUUUUAUUUGGGAAGAAAAAUAUUGUUGAUCUCAGUGAUUUACAGAUCUCUCAUAGCCAUCAUAUCAUAUAAAAGAUAACAAUUCAUUUUUUUGGCAUUUUAAUUGCAAGAUUGCUUACUAAAUUUCUGCAAUAAGGGAAAAUAAUAUUUGUAAAAUUUAUGUGUCUGUGAAAGCAAAUGAACUUCAGAACUUCUAUUUCUAGUUAGUACCUGGGGGAACUCACAUACCCAUCAUUUAAAACAACAACUGAACAGAACAACCAAGCUUGGAUUCCAAUUUGAUUUGACUCCUCUUUGGGAUCAACAAGAAAUUAUAGUCCUGGAAACCCAUAUCUGUAAAGUAGUUCUGCAAAGUAGACAGUAAAUAUCUCCUUGAUCUUUGAACCUUUUAAUGUUACAAACUAUGAGAUGUUCAUUCACUGGCAGGACCCAGAGAUUACACUUUCUUGAAAAAUGCUCCAAAUUUGCUGAGAUCCAAUGAAUCUUUGUAAAUUAUGUUUGUUCCAUCAUGAAAUAUAACUGACUUUUACAGUUCAGUCCUUCAGUUACUACAUUCCUUGUUUCAGUCAAGACAGCAAAAGAAACUCUAAGAUGCUGAAUUGCAAAACUCCUGCUGAGUUAAAGAGAAUAUUGCUAGAUCUGUGAGUGAGAAAGCCCCAGAAGUGCUGGGACUUUGAAGUACUGGGAUUUUUCCUUUUUACUCAGAGUACCUGCUCCAGGUGGGACCACUGAAGAAUUUUGAAAUUAGAGGACAGUUACGUGUAGGAGGAAUGUAUAAUAAAAAGCUGAAAACGUGAUCUGCGGUGUGAUGAAAACUGAGUAGGUUGAACCCUCAGGGACAGCUUAUGGCUUGCACAAGUUCUAAGUUACAGCAAUUUCCCAGGACAUGUUGCAUGAAUGAUAGAGUCUGACAUUUUGUACAGUGCAGAGAAACUCUUUCUGCUCUCUGAGAUGAAAAGCUAAGGAGUCUAACAAGGCAGUAUUAAUCUGCAGGCAAAAUAAUCUACAGGCAAGAUUAUUUCAGACAAAUAGAGGAAUUGGAGAAAAAAUAGAGCAGAAGUUCAACAUGCUGCUAUUAUAAGCCUAGCAUGUCUUAAAACAGUGUAAGAGUGACUAGAACAUAGUGACAUUCUUGCCAAAGAAUUGCAAAAGAAUUUCCAUUUGCUUGUUGUGUGGCAUGAGUCAAACAGCAACGUUUCAGGAUUCUAGUUCAUGUGUAAUGAAAAGGCAAGGAGACCAGACCAUUCUUCUAUUGCAUAAGCAAUUUCACGUGGUGUCACAUCUUGAUUGAUGUUCCGCGUGGUCUGGGAGUCAGGGAAUCUGCUUAGAAAUACAGGGCUUCAGAAAUUUGCAUACUCAGAAUUGCUUCUAAAAAGAUAAAGCGCUGCUUUUACUAGAUCUAGCUGAUUACUGACAGAAAUUAUUCCAUUUCUGGAAAUACAAGUGUAUCCAGAAGAACUGAAAGUGGUGUCCAUUAGUCAUUUAGUAGUUUACUGAGAGGCAUGUUGAUCUGUAUCUAAACAUGAAACAGGAGUAGGAAAACUGGCUACAGUUAAGAACUAAAUAAAUAAGAUUCAAAUUUUACUGAGGUACCUUAAGUAACAUUAAAGCAAACAGGAUAACAAAAUGAGUUGUUCAGACCUGUGUAUGGAUUGUGAAUUUGUAAAAAUAAAUGCCUGAUCUGUUAUGUUUUGCUCAUACCACUUUCCUGGGAAAGAGAUAGCCUAUAAACAUAACUAAAUUAUGCACAGGCACCUGCCAUCCCAUCCCUUGGGCAUGCUAAGUUAAAAAGUGUUGCUUGAUGAUUCCUGUAAGAACACAGUUCCCUUCUGGACUGAGGGACAUAGGCACCUAGGAAUGAUUAGUCAUGGGAAACUGGUUUAAGCAGCAGCACGGUGAGUUGCAUUGUGUCACAGGCUGUUAGGUGUCAGUGCAAAAAUAGAGUCAUAAGAAAAUUAAGUUCUGGUAGACUUUUGAAGUCAUUGUUCUAAUCCUGCUCAAACAAUAGCUAGCAUCAAAAUUAGAUUGGGACAGUUAUCCUACUGGCCCUGUUAAUCAAAUGGCCAAGAGCAACAAUCAAAGAAUAUAAAAUGACCCAAUCUUACAACCUGCUAUUGCACGAAGGCUUAGCAUCUCACAAUCUUUGACAGCAGCAAUUAGCAUCAGACACAAGUGGAAAUGUAGGUUAAAUUUGUAUCAUUGAAUGCUCUAUACGCACAAACCUUGGAAGCCAAAGCACAGAUAUUUCACAUCACAGUGCUGUUUUAUCCUCAGAUUAACAUCAUCUCUUCCCACUGAUCUCUUCAGUGUAGGAAAGAUUAUAGCCACAAAUGCACAGUUCCAAUUGUGAGCUGGAGUUUUACAGUGCUGUUCAGCAUCUGAAACAUUAAACAACUCCAACAGCAGACAAUUUUAGUAACUUUCCACCAUUUAAUCUCUCUUUUUAUUGGGAGAGGGGUCAGUGAACUACAUUGUCAGGUUUUAAACUGUAAAAUGAUACAUUAGAGCUCUUUGUGGACAUGUUUGAAAUAGUGGGGGGAAUCUUGCCAAAGACUGCCUUGAUAUAGUUCUUUGAGAGAACUGAUGCAGUAGAAUGAUUUUUAAUGAAUAUGCUAUGAAUGGCUUGAGAAGCUUUAAAUAUUGCUGUUAUGUCAGGUUUCAAAUAUGUUACUAGAAUAACACUCUUAAAGGUUUCUUCGUGGUAGAGUCAUUUAGCUAUUGGUGUUUGACAGCUGAAAGUGAAGAAACCAAAGAAUUCAAAUUACAAGCUGAAGCAGUGAUAGAAAAGGGAUACUGCUAUCAUGUGACAUAAAAACAAUUUUCUGCUGAAAGCAAGAAAUAUAGGAGCUUUCACAUGACAGAUUAAUUGGCCUCAUGAUUUCCUGUUAAAAGAUACACUGUUCUGAGGGGAUUUGAACUCUUCUGCUUGAACCUUAUCCUAACACAGCUCACAAACACAGUUUUGCUGCAUUUGUGGGCUGCAGAGAUGUAUUGAUUAGCUGGAGGAAAUGGUUUUCUCAAAGUUUAUUACUGUCUUGUCUUGGGUAUUUGCUCAUUUUGGCAAGCUGCUAAACUAUACUGAAUUCAUUCUUUGCUCAGAUAAAUGACUCUUCUCAGAUAACAUAGGCUAGCAAUUUUAAAAUUUUAAAUUCCUUUUAAACGUCUAUUUAAAUUCUGUUUUUAUAUUCUUUACAGUCAACUUCUUGAUGUCUGUAUAAUCUUUUGUGGAAUAUAGUUUUACAUAAUUAUCAACAAUACUUUAGCCAGUCUCCUAAGCUAUAGAUUCAGCCUAACAUUGUUCAAGUUCUUAAUCUGACAGCUAGAACUUGGAUGAUAAUUCUGACUGGAUCUGCGAUUUGCAAUUUAAAACUGUCCUUGUGGGGACAACUCUCAUCAGGCAGAGCUUUGAUCAGCUGUAGCUGAUACUCAGUGGCAGUGUCUAGGAUGGCUUCCUACCCAUGAUUUCCCCAUUAUGUGCUCUGUUCACUCAGUAACAGCCUUCAAAAUGUACUAAGAACCAAGAUUUUAUAUCAGGAUGUGUUGCACAUAGCAAACAUUUUGCUAUACUGUUGUGCAGUACAUCAAGCUAAUAGAGAAGAGAACGAAGGCAUCAGAGCUAUAGCAAUAGAUUUGGUAAUAAUGUGGUCAGACACCACAUAUCUUGGUUAAUAUACAGCAACUAAAAAACAGGAAAGCAGCAAUCAUAAUAAAAGUAGUCAUACAUCAUUUGUUGUGUAGGAAAAAAGCAGACGUUAAAGAGGUACCAUUCAAUGCCAUUAUGGACUAAAUGCAUCCUGCACAGGCAUGACUUGAAACACAAAGUCAAAAAAAUAGCUUACAAAAUUAAAACUGACUGUCAUUCGAUACAAAAUAAUUUAAAAUACACAUGACUUCUACUUCUAUGAUUUAAGCACAGAACAGGAGAUACAGCAAAGUAAGUUACAAAAGUUUACUAGGCAGAGGACAGUCUGUGGUAUAAGGAUGGGAUGACAAGGUAGAGGAUCUCUAUGACCAUAGAGCAUUUGGAGUAAGUGGAGAAAGAAUGAAUUACCUUUGGAAUUAAGAAGUUAUAGAUUAGGGGUUUAACUGAAUAAAGACUAUAGAGAGGGUAUUCAACUAUUCACUAUUCCUUCCAGUAUAUGAACGGUGAGUAACCAGACGAAGCUGAUAGGAGAUUAACAAACAAAAAGAUGUGUUUCUUCACACGGUGUAUUAAAGCUGCAGAACAUCUUGCUGCAGUAACUUUUGCUGCCAAAGGUGUUCAUGAGUUCAAGCGUGGUCUUCACAAGUCUACAGAGCAGUUGACCACCAAACAUUUUAAAACACACAAACUGUGUAGGACAAGUAUAGCCAAACUUGGCUUGUUCUUCCCUGCUUUCCUGGGUAGCUGCUUUUUCAUGUCACUAGAGACAAAAUACUGGGCUAAAAAAUUCUGACCCAAAACUGGAACGUAUGAAAUAAGAAUGCCUAAAUCCAGGUCGUAUUAUUAGGCUCAUGUCAAAUGUAAAUAGCAUGAGAUCAGAUGACCUUAGAAUAUGUUAUAGCCUUAUAUUCCAUUACAAUCUAUAAAUUAGUAAAUAGAAAAUAGUAAAUAGAAAAUCCCAUCCAUUCUACUGAGAGUAAGUUUUAAGUGCCAGCACUUUCUGCCAGUGAAAACACUGGAAAAGUCAUCACUAUUCACAGCCAUUUCUAGUAUUAAAUGAAAAUCCUAUAGAAGCAAUAGAUCGCAUUACAGAAUGAUAAUAACAAAUCACUAGUGCGUAAAGAUGGCAUAUCUUACAUGCUUUCCAUACAGUAUGUUAUGUGUGUGUUUGGUAAAAGCUGCAACUAUACCUGUGUGGCAUCUCAGAAUCAAUCUUGACUACUUUUUAUUUCAGAAUAAGAAUGCUUGGACAAGAUCUUUCUGAUCAGUGGCACAGUAGGACGCUAGCUUCUUUCUGGCCAUGCAGAACAACAUGCCAGAUCAGUUUCUUGGUAAGUUUCAUCAUGUGGCCCCACAAGUAGUUGUACAAACCACUGUAUUAAACCCCAGAAGAGGGGCAAGGAGCUCAUUCACAAGACUUAGCUACAGAAAAUGCAGUCAAGACAGUCCCUUCCUUCAAGCAGUAGACAAAACUAUGACUCAAGACACAAGAUUCAGUCUUUCAACAAGUUGAAAUGCUCCUUAUUGAGACUGGCUGUACAGCAGAGCAGCUGCAGUAGAAGUACAUUUGUCCUCUUGGAUAGAGUGUAUUGUGGAUUCACUGUAUACCAACAUUUUCUAAGAAAUUCACCCUUGCAUUACUGAAGAUUGUGAAACAAUGGAGUCUUUUAUCUGCCAACUUCUAUUGAGUUUGCUAAGCAGGAAGCAAUAGAUGAACCCCAACACAUCAGAAUAGCUAUGUGCAGAAUGCUGCUAUCACAGCUGACAUCAGUCACAUCACUCAAGCUUCUUGAGAAAUGGGUUCAAUGGUGCUUGAGAUAAAGUGUAGAAAAAAUACAAACCAAAGGAAGAUUUUCAGGAAGCCAGAAAGGCUAAAAGGGGACAGAUCAUGUGGUGUCUGUCUUUCCCUCACACUCUGAGGGAGCACAGAGGUGAACCAGGAAAAGGAAGGUGUAAGUAAACUAGCAAUAAUACCGGACUGCCACGAAGCACUAAGAGAAGGAGGGUUGUUUACAUAUAAUGAACCCUCAUCCUGUCUGUUGGAAUGCUAAUCCUGUCAGUCUACCAUUACUAUAAUACAGAAUAUGUAUUACCCCAGAAGGAUUUGAGAGGAACCCACCGUUUUUUUUCUUCCAGUCACAAAGGAGUCACCAGUGGAAGUGGUGGUGGAUUCAGAUGAUGAAAGGCUGUGAUAUAUCAUCAGGACUGCUUUUCAGCUGCACGUGAGCAGCAGAGACAACAGCUGAGAGGCAUUUAACAGCUACCUUGUGAAGUUCACUGAGCUGCACCUGUGUGCUGUGAAGUUCUCUGCGUGGUCUCCACCAGGUAAAUACUUGUAAGUUUGAGUUUCAGGAUGUGUCCUUGAACCGCAGUUUACUUUCACUGAAAUAAAUGUAAAUAGUGAUGCUUUUAGCAUGUGAAUUGGUGUCUACCAAGCUGGGUCCAUAACUUCAUAAGACUUUAAAGCAGCAUAAAAAACUGACCGGUUAUAAAACUAAUAUAUUAAAAGAAGGGAAGAAAAUGAGAUGUUAAUGUUUAAAUGUAUUGGAUAGUUGCAGUUAAAUGUCCGGAUCUGCAUUUUCCCUCUGUUAGGAGUGGCUUAGCAGCAGCAAUGUUUUUGGUCACCAAAAAGUAUAUUUCAACCCCACAUUGAUAUUGAAUUACAAACUAAAAAUCUAUUUAAAUAAAUGAAAAAAAUGUAUAACUUGCAAUAUUUGUCCUCUAAAAAUUGUUAGAGAUUUAUUAGUGCUGAUAAUAGAAGAAGUAAUAGCGUAAUCAGAGCAUUAUAGAGGCUUUUUGGUUAUUUCUGCUUUGAGAUAAAUUUGAAUUUGACAGUGUCUCUAAAAAUGUUCGUGGCCCCUAACACUACAGAUUCUCCUACUGCUGCCACCCAGCAGAAAUGCCUAGAGCAGCAUUGCUAUGGUAGCUAAACCAGAUGGUGUUUUACCAUUACAGAAUCUCACCUGUGAAACAGAAAAGAGCUAUAGAGGAAAAACUGCUCAUCUUGAACUGUAAUUAAUGCCAAGGAAAUAGUCCUUUAUCCAGCCAUUUUCUAUAGAAAGCACAGGACUUUCUGUUUUGGGUAUCCUCCCAGAUAUGCUUUCUCAAAACCAAUAGGAUUCAGCUUUGAAGCCUCAUACAGGACAGGGCCUAAAAUGCAAAGUGCUUUCUGCCAGCGACGUCCUCUAAAGAAAUCCUGGGCUAAAUUACACCUUUUGUUACGCGUAAACUCUGGCACUGAUAGCUCAAUUCGGACAUAGCAACGUCCACAAGUGCAAUUAAUUAGAAGCAGGUGACGAUUUUUCGUUUUGAGCAUUUCAAAGCUAAGACGCACGUUGUGCUUUAGAAAGUACACGUGCACGUUUUCCAGAUUUGAAAUUCAGAAAAAGAGGAGGAGGAGGAGAGGGCCGGGGGAAGCGCUCGGCCCCCAUUGAAGCCCCCGGGCGUGCGUGCCAGGAUCGCACAGAACUGCAAGCAGGUAGAUACACUUCCUGCAGGCAGCACCGCAGAAGGGAGUUUUCCUCUGAUCUCCCUCAAAAACCAAUCAGGCCAGAUCAGCCAGGCGUUGAUUCUCCCUCUGUCCCUCCUACACCUUUCCCAAAGACCCAAUGGCCUUGUCCCUCUGGGAGAUUGACUAGAGUUAAAUGAGCCGCGCCAAGGGCAGGUAACUCAGGAGAGGCGAAAGGGGGGGGGUUAAAAAAAAAAAAAA
Molecule: non-coding RNA, 11305 nt
Organism: Meleagris gallopavo (turkey)
Lineage: Eukaryota; Metazoa; Chordata; Aves; Galliformes; Phasianidae
Source: RefSeq, a predicted model, not a curated record